GGAGGGGUGGCAGAGUGGUUUAUUGCGGCGGUCUUGAAAACCGUUGGCUGAUGAGGCCCGGGGGUUCGAAUCCCUCCCCCUCCGCCA
This 87-nucleotide transfer RNA is filed under the name bacterium. RNAcentral describes it as "tRNA-Ser". It matches the Rfam family "tRNA". From Rfam's summary of the family: Transfer RNA (tRNA) molecules are approximately 80 nucleotides in length. Their secondary structure includes four short double-helical elements and three loops (D, anti-codon, and T loops). The record is from RNAcentral. RNAcentral also lists the same sequence under 1 other name.